Gossypium raimondii (Peruvian cotton) is the source of this 386-nucleotide non-coding RNA. The record is from Rfam. Lineage: Eukaryota; Viridiplantae; Streptophyta; Magnoliopsida; Malvales; Malvaceae.
CAUUGGUGAGAAUACAAUUCCCUAAAAACCCAAGGGUUCCUCCACAAGGUUUGUCUAUAGAGGGUGAGUCAGGGCCUAAGAUCAGGCCGAAAGGCGUAGUCGAUGAACAACAGAUGAAUAUUUCUGUACUACCUCUUAUUGGUCCCGAGGGACAGAGGAAGCUAGGUUAGCCGAAAGAUGCUUAUUGGUUCAAGGACGCAAGGUGCCCUUGCCUUUUCAGGGUAAGAAGGGGUAAGGAAAAUGCCCCGAACCAAUGUUCGAGUUCCAGGCACUACAAUGCUGAAGUAAACCAUGCUAUACUCUCAGGAAAAGCUCAAAUGACCUUCAACAAAAGGGUACUUGUACCCAAAACUGACACAGAUGGGUAGGUAGAGAAUACCUAGGGG